This 492-nucleotide ribosomal RNA is filed under the name uncultured bacterium. Its description in RNAcentral is "SSU rRNA". It matches the Rfam family "Bacterial small subunit ribosomal RNA", at positions 26 to 518 of the family's 1533-position model. The record is from RNAcentral.
AGGACGAACGCUGGCGGCGUGCUUAACACAUGCAAGUGGAGCGACGAACCAGGGCUUGCCCUGGGGCAGAGCCGCGAACGGGUGAGUAACACGUGGGUUACCUGCCUUGAUGACCGGGACAACCCGAGGAAACUCGGGCUAAUACCGGAUGUGCCCGCAAGGGGAAAGGAAGCUUCGGCCUCCGCAUCAAGAUGGGCCCGCGGCCCAUUAGCUUGUUGGUGAGGUAACGGCUCACCAAGGCUUCGAUGGGUAGCUGGUCUGAGAGGACGAUCAGCCACACUGGGACUGAGACACGGCCCAGACUCCUACGGGAGGCAGCAGUGGGGAAUCUUGCGCAAUGCGCGAAAGCGUGACGCAGCAACGCCGCGUGGGGGAAGAAGGCUUUCGGGUUGUAAACCCCUUUCAGUUGGGACGAGGCUUCUUCGGUGAAUAGCCGAACGGAGUGACGGUACCUUCACAAGAAGCACCGGCUAACUACGUGCCAGCAGCCGC